GUGGGGAAUAUUGGGCAAUGGGGGAAACCCUGACCCAGCGACGCCGCGUGAGGGAAGACGGCCUUCGGGUUGUAAACCUCUUUUGUACGGGAAGAAGGAAGUGACGGUACUGUACGAAUAAGUCCCGGCUAACUACGUGCCAGCAGCCGCGGUAAUACGUAGGGGACGAGCGUUGUCCGGAAUUACUGGGCGUAAAGGGCGCGCAGGCUGUGCUGCAAGUCAGCUGUGAAAUGUCUGGGCUUAACCCGGGCAUGCGGUUGAGACUGCAGUGCUGGAGUGCUGUAGAGGCAAGUGGAAUUCCCAGGGUAGCGGUGAAAUGCGUAGAUAUUGGGAAGAACACCGGUGGCGAAGGCGACUUGCUGGGCAGCAACUGACGCUGAGGCGCGAAAGCCAGGGGAGCAAACGGGAUUAGAAACCCGUGUAGUCC
Molecule: ribosomal RNA, 427 nt
Filed under: uncultured bacterium
Lineage: Bacteria
Description: partial 16S ribosomal RNA
Rfam family: Bacterial small subunit ribosomal RNA
Source: RNAcentral